This 794-nucleotide ribosomal RNA is filed under the name Chauliops fallax. Its description in RNAcentral is "12S ribosomal RNA". Lineage: Eukaryota; Metazoa; Arthropoda; Insecta; Hemiptera; Malcidae. The record is from RNAcentral.
AUUUUUAAAAUUUCUUGUAAAGUAAUAUUUGAUUCUGGUAUUUAAAAUUAGUUUUGUCAUUGUUAUUACAUGGAAAUUUUGGUGUUUAAAUUGCUCUAAAUGGGUUGUUUAUAUGUUCAGUUUUGUUUUUUAGUUUAAUUAAGUUGUUUUAGAUCUAGGUAAUGAUAAUAUAACUGUAAAAGGUUGUGCCAGCAUAUGCGGUUAUACAUCUGGUUAGAGUUAAUUUUGUUGAUUUAUAUUUAUGAUUUUUUGUUUGGGCAUGUUUUUGAUUUAUUAUGGGUAAAAUUUUGAUUUUAAUUUAAUGUCUUGGUUAUUUAUUAUAUGAAAGUUGGUUAUUAGACUAGGAUUAGAUACCCUAUUAUUCCAAUUGUAGUUUUUAGUUUUAUUAUUGUUAGUUUUGUUCUUUAAAUUAAAAGAAUUUGGCGGUAAUUUAAUCUUUCCAGAGGAACCUGUCCUUUAAUUGAUAAUCCACGUUGGAUUUUACUUUAAUUUUUUGGUUUGUAUACCUCUGUCAUUGAAUAUCUUAUUAGGGUUAUGAUUUUCUUUAAUUAUUAAUGUAUUUUAUGUCAAGUCAAGGUGCAGCUUAUUAAAGGUUGAGAUGGGUUACAUUUAAUGUUAAUUUAUUGAAUUAUUUAUUUUAAUAUUUUUAUGAAAUUGGAUUUGGAAGUAAAUUUUAUUAUUUUAUAAAAUUGAUUGCUUGGCUCUAAAUUAUGUACAUAUCGCCCGUCACUCCUGCCUUAAAGUAGGAUAAGUCGUAACAAAGUAAUUUUAUCGGAAGAUGGGGUUUGAAGAUU